Molecule: non-coding RNA, 85 nt
Organism: Pyrenochaeta sp. MPI-SDFR-AT-0127
Lineage: Eukaryota; Fungi; Ascomycota; Dothideomycetes; Pleosporales; Cucurbitariaceae
Source: the annotation of a GenBank genome assembly
CUCCCCUUGGUGCAGUUGGUUUAGCACGUUCGACUGUAAUAGCAUUGUCAUCGAAAGGUCCCUCGUUCGAUCCGAGGAGGGGAGA